UGGGGAAUAUUGGACAAUGGGCGAAAGCCUGAUCCAGCCAUGCCGCGUGUGUGAAGAAGGUCUUCGGAUUGUAAAGCACUUUAAGUUGGGAGGAAGGGCAUUAACCUAAUACGUUAGUGUUUUGACGUUACCGACAGAAUAAGCACCGGCUAACUCUGUGCCAGCAGCCGCGGUAAUACAGAGGGAGCAAGCGUUAAUCGGAAUUACUGGGCGUAAAGCGCGCGUAGGUGGUUUGUUAAGUUGGAUGUGAAAUCCCCGGGCUCAACCUGGGAACUGCAUUCAAAACUGACUUACUAGAGUAUGGUAGAGGGUGGUGGAAUUUCCUGUGUAGCGGUGAAAUGCGUAGAUAUAGGAAGGAACACCAGUGGCGAAGGCGACCACCUGGACUAAUACUGACACUGAGGUGCGAAAGCGUGGGGAGCAAACA
RNAcentral lists this ribosomal RNA (427 nucleotides) under uncultured bacterium. RNAcentral's name for it is "partial 16S ribosomal RNA". It matches the Rfam family "Bacterial small subunit ribosomal RNA", at positions 355 to 774 of the family's 1533-position model. The record is from RNAcentral.